Molecule: non-coding RNA, 205 nt
Organism: Pelobates cultripes (western spadefoot toad)
Lineage: Eukaryota; Metazoa; Chordata; Amphibia; Anura; Pelobatidae
Source: the annotation of a GenBank genome assembly
UUUCUUUGGACCCCCACGCCAAGGCUGACUUGGCUAUGUGGGGGAAGUUUUUGAAAGACUGGAAUGGCAUCUCCAUGUUUAUCCCCCCUCUCUCCACCUCUUCACCCAUCAUCCACACGGACGCAGCAGCCAACACCGGUUUCGCAGCCAUUUUCGGGAACCACUGGUUUAGGGGCCACUGGCCCACUGAGACGGAUGCCUUGCC